Quercus robur (English oak) is the source of this 2740-nucleotide RNA transcript. It is a transcript of the gene named putative wall-associated receptor kinase-like 16, with no coding region annotated. The transcript has 4 exons. NCBI's taxonomy places the organism in Eukaryota, Viridiplantae, Streptophyta, Magnoliopsida, Fagales, Fagaceae. The record is from RefSeq and is a predicted model, not a curated record.
UAUAUAUAUAUAUAGACUUAGACUUAGACUUGUACAAAUCUAUCAACACUGCCAAGUAGAGACAUACAGUCAAGGAGCACAACACCUUGAGGAGAAGAUCGGCGCCACCCUAAUAGAUAUACAAACCCAAAAGUGAAAAUCAAACCGCUCAUCAAAGAUCUAGUCUAGUUGGCGCUGCCAAGAAAAAAUCAAACUGAGUUCCUAAUUGGAGAAAGGCUGUGAAGGAGAAGCUCGAUUGGGAGGGAAGCUCCAGAGAGAUGGCCUCAGUGCACUUGGCAAUCUUGCAAUUGACCUUGCUGUGGGUAGUAGAAGCAUCAAUUGUCAACACCAACGCCUUGCCUUUAGCCAAGGACGGCUGUGAAGCACAUUGUGGCAAUGUCAGUAUUCCAUACCCAUUUGGCACAAGGGAAGGAUGCUACGUUAAUGAUAACUUUCUCAUCACUUGUAAUCACACAUACAAUCCUCCCUUGGCGUUUUGGGCAGAUGGUAAUAUAAAUGUUACAAAUAUACGGCUUUCGGGUGAAAUGCGCAUAUAUGCCUUUGUAGCCUAUGAUUGCUACAACGGAACUGGUAGGAGUGGACGCAAAAAUCAUCCUUGGCUCGAAUCGGUCAAUCACUUCCCAAUCUCCAACACUCGAAACAAGUUCAUGGCUAUUGGUUGUGACACAUAUGCUAUGAUAAAGGGUUCUAGUGGGACAAACUACGCAACUGGGUGCAUGUCUUUGUGUGAUAGCACGAGAGAUGUGGUUGAGGGGUCUUGCUCUGGUAUUGGCUGUUGCGAAACUGCUAUUCCAAGAGGAGUAACGGAUUUCAAUAUCGAGGUAUCGAGCUAUUACAACCACACGAGAGUGUGGGAAUUCAACCCUUGCAGCUAUGCUUUUGUGGCAGAGGAAGGUACUUACAACUUUUCUAAACAAGAUCUUCUGAAUCUUAAAGAUCAAGAUAAUAUGAUCCCAAUGGUGCUAAAUUGGGCAAUAGGGGAUCAAAAUUGCGGUGAAGCUAAAAAGGAUCUUGAAAGUUAUGCAUGCAUGGCUAACAGUGAGUGUCAUGACUCGAGCAAUGGUCCAGGCUACCAGUGCAGUUGUUCCAAGGGAUACCAAGGCAAUCCUUACCUUAAGGAUGGCUGCCAAGAUAUUGAUGAGUGCUUAAAUUCCACCAUAUGCGUCCAAAACUGCACCAAUUUGCCUGGUACUUAUAAUUGUUCCUGUCAGCUACCAGGAUAUGAUGGCGAUGGUAAAUGGGAUGGAACAGGUUGCAAACUCAUACCAAGCCCUGAGAGGUUUCCAUUGAUUGAUAGGAUUUCACUAGGUGUCAGUGUCAACCUCUUGGUUCUAGUUUUGGGCAUUUCUUGGUUAUACUGGGGACUCAAGCGUAGAAAGCUUAUCAAGCUCAAAGAGAAGUUUUUUAAACAAAAUGGUGGCUUCCUACUACAACAACAACUUUCUAAGCACAAUGGAUCUAUUGAAACAACUCAAAUAUUUACAGCAGAAGAACUUGAGAAGGCAACAAACAAUUACCAUGAAAAUAGAAUCCUAGGCCAAGGUGGCCAAGGAACGGUUUACAAAGGAAUAUUACCAGAUAACAAAAUAGUUGCCAUUAAGAAGUCCAAAAUAAUAGCUCAAAGCCAAGUUGAACAAUUUAUUAAUGAAGUGUCUAUUCUCUCCCAAAUCAACCAUAGAAAUGUGGUAAAGUUAUUGGGAUGUUGUUUGGAGACUGAAGUUCCUCUGUUGGUGUAUGAAUUUGUUACCAAUGGUACCCUUUUCAAUCACAUUCACAAAACAGACCAUUCUUCAACGUUGCAAUGGCAAUUACGUUUACAGAUAGCAGUUGAAACUGCAGGAGCACUUUCUUAUUUGCAUUCUGCUGCAACCACUCCCAUCAUUCAUAGAGAUAUCAAGAGCACUAAUGUACUCUUAGAUGAUAAUUACAAAGCUAAGGUAUCUGAUUUUGGAGCUUCGAGGCUAGUUCCUCUUGAUCAUACUCAGUUAACCACACUAGUGCAAGGGACACUUGGAUACUUGGAUCCAGAAUACUUUCAUUCAAGCCAAUUGACUGAAAAAAGCGACGUCUAUAGCUUUGGAGUUCUCCUUGCAGAGUUGCUAACUGGAAUGAAGGCACUUUCUUUUGAGAGACCUGAAGAAGAAAGAAACUUAGCCAUGCAUUUUGUCUCAUCAAUGAAUGAAAGCCGAUUGUUUGAAAUUCUAGAUCAACAAAUGCUGAAUGAGGGAAAUGUUGAGCAACUUAAUGAAGUUGCGAUGUUGGCUAAGAGAUGCUUAAAAGUGAAGGGAGCGGAGAGGCCUACUAUGAAAGAAGUUGCAAAGGAGUUAGAGGGCUUGAAAGCAAUGACAAAGCAUCCAUGGGUUAAAGGCGAUAUGAGUUCAGAAGAGACUGAGUACUUGCUCCAAAAACCAUAUGAUGAUUGUGUUGGUGGUGUCAGUGGCAAUUCUGCAUGUUAUGACAGCAUAAGGAAACAAGUCAGCAUAUCAAUACUUGAUGAUGGCAGAUAAUUAUCUAGUGUGUUAAAGGAUGAUAUAAUGCUAGACUUUAUCAUUAUACUUUUUAUUCAUAUUUUUUUUUUUUAUCAUUUUAAAAAUGUAUUUUUGUUAUUAGUUUGGGACUAGGUAAGGUAAAGUGGUAAACAGACAAGAUGGGAUAGAUUUGUAGAUUAGUUUUUAAAUAAAUUUUAUCUACUUGUAACUGAUAAAUAUUAGAUAUCUGUUGAAUUUAAAUGUUAUGUUUA